UUUUUUUUUCGUUUUCUUAGGUGGCUAGGGUCUCAGCUAGGUAGGACUCGUGCUGAUAACGUGUUAUAACCAGAGAAAGAGAUAGAAGAAAUGAGUGUGUUAUUCCAUUGAGAUAAAAGGUUCUUUAUAUAGGUGUACAAGGAAAGGGUAAAACCCUAGAAACAUCUAGAUGAUGGGCUUAGAUGAUGGGCCUUAUAAUGGGCAUCCAUCUUUAUUCAUAACACAAAUAUAUUAUUUGUAUCACUUUUACAAUUUUGAUACAAACUAAAGAAUUUGCGUCAUUUAGAAAAUGAUACAAAAUUUACAUCAAUAACAAAUGAUGUUAGUUAAAGAUUAAGCAUCAGUUAU
Molecule: small RNA, 348 nt
Filed under: Arabidopsis thaliana (thale cress)
Lineage: Eukaryota; Viridiplantae; Streptophyta; Magnoliopsida; Brassicales; Brassicaceae
Description: ATSL259130
Source: RNAcentral